CGGUCAUCCAGAUUCCACAGGUCCACCAUCUCCAUUACAGCCUCUCCAGACAAAGUCGAUUCCUGAGGAAAAUUUUCAAGCUCAUUGACGUGCACGGGAGAGGUUACUCAGGAUAAUAUCUCCUCAUCUUGCAAGCUGAAGCUGCUCUGAUUAUAUCUAUUGCUUCUGCUAUCUACACCAUGUUAUGCUGAGACUUUACUGGGCCGUUUGGAUUUUGUUCCCUGAUUAUUUUAUAAUACCGCUGGUGGGCCUGUAUAUUUUGAUC
Molecule: long non-coding RNA, 265 nt
Organism: Hyla sarda
Lineage: Eukaryota; Metazoa; Chordata; Amphibia; Anura; Hylidae
Exons: 3
Source: RefSeq, a predicted model, not a curated record